Molecule: unclassified non-coding RNA, 381 nt
Filed under: soil metagenome
Description: partial contains 5.8S ribosomal RNA, internal transcribed spacer 2, and large subunit ribosomal RNA
Rfam family: 5.8S ribosomal RNA (bases 1-120)
Source: RNAcentral
GAUGAAGAACGUAGUGAAAUGCGAUAAGUAAUGUGAAUUGCAGAAUUCAGUGAAUCAUCGAAUCUUUGAACGCACCUUGCACCCUUUGGCAUUCUGAAGGGUAUGCUCGUUUGAGUGUCAUUGUACUCUCACACUCCCGAUCUUUGCAUUGGGAGCAGUGGACUUGGGUUUGCUGCUUCACCGUCGCUUACCUCAAAUAGGUUAGUGCAACUCUUGGUUGGACAUAGUACGGCGUGAUAAGUGUUCUUCGCCGGUGCCUCGCAAAGAGGGUGGCCGAUCGGGAUGUUGUGCUCCAAACCGUCUUCGGACAAUCUCUGACGACUUGACCUCAAAUCGAGUAAGACUACCCGCUGAACUUAAGCAUAUCAAUAAGCGGGAGGA